CGGGCGAGGCGCCGGUCUAAGUCCCUUGGAACGGGGCGUCAGAGAGGGUGAGAAUCCCGUACGCGACCGGUGACCGAGCCUAUGUGAAACCCCUUCGACGAGUCGAGUUGUUUGGGAAUGCAGCUCAAAACGGGUGGUAAGUUUCAUCUAAAGCUAAAUACCGGCCAGAGACCGAUAGCGCACAAGUAGAGUGAUCGAAAGAUGAAAAGCACUUUGGAAAGAGAGUCAAAAAGUACGUGAAAUUGUUGAAAGGGAAGCGCUUGCAACCAGACCUGCCCGCGGGUGAUCAACCGUCCUUCUGGGCGGUGCACUCGCCCGCGAUCAGGCCAGCAUCGGUUCGGGCGGUCGGAUAAAGGCCUCGGGAACGUAGCUCCCCUCGGGGAGUGUUAUAGCCCUUGGUGCAAUGCGGCCCGCCCGGACCGAGGACCGCGCUUCGGCUAGGAUGCUGGCGUAAUGGUUGUAAGCGGCCCGUCUUGAAACACGGACCAAGGAGUCGACCAACUAUGCGAGUGUUUGGGUGUCAAACCCACACGCGCAAUGAAAGUGAACGGAGGUGGGAACCCCUCGCGGGGCGCACCAUCGACCGAUCCAGAUGUCUUCGGAUGGAUUUGAGUACGAGCAUAGCUGGUCGGACCCGAAAGAUGAUGAACUAUGCCUGAAUAGGGUGAAGCCAGAGGAAACUCUGGUGGAGGCUCGCAGCGGUUCUGACGUGCAAAUCGAUCGUCAAAUUUGGGCAUAGGGGCGAAAGACUAAUCGAAUCAU
RNAcentral lists this ribosomal RNA (762 nucleotides) under Polycauliona sp. 30 UA-2013. RNAcentral's name for it is "LSU rRNA". It matches the Rfam family "Eukaryotic large subunit ribosomal RNA", at positions 165 to 943 of the family's 3401-position model. The record is from RNAcentral. Lineage: Eukaryota; Fungi; Ascomycota; Lecanoromycetes; Teloschistales; Teloschistaceae.